RNAcentral lists this ribosomal RNA (253 nucleotides) under uncultured bacterium. RNAcentral's name for it is "partial 16S ribosomal RNA". It matches the Rfam family "Bacterial small subunit ribosomal RNA", at positions 524 to 776 of the family's 1533-position model. The record is from RNAcentral.
UACGUAGGGGGCAAGCGUUGUCCGGAUUCAUUGGGCGUAAAGAGCGUGUAGGCGGCCUGAAAGGUCAGCUGUGAAAACUCGAGGCUCAACCUCGAGACGUCGGUUGAAACCAUCUGGCUAGAGUCCGGAAGAGGAGUGUGGAAUUCCCGGUGUAGCGGUGAAAUGCGCAGAUAUCGGGAAGAACACCCGUGGCGAAGGCGGCACUCUGGGACGGGACUGACGCUGAGACGCGAAAGCGUGGGGAGCGAACAGG